GCGUCCGUAGCUCAGUUGGUUAGAGCACCACCUUGACAUGGUGGGGGUCGGUGGUUCGAGUCCACUCGGACGC
RNAcentral lists this transfer RNA (73 nucleotides) under Escherichia coli. RNAcentral describes it as "tRNA-Val". It matches the Rfam family "tRNA". From Rfam's summary of the family: Transfer RNA (tRNA) molecules are approximately 80 nucleotides in length. RNAcentral also lists the same sequence under 5 other names. Lineage: Bacteria; Pseudomonadati; Pseudomonadota; Gammaproteobacteria; Enterobacterales; Enterobacteriaceae. The record is from RNAcentral.